UGAAAUGCGAAAAGUAAUGCGAUUUGCAUGAAUCUGUGAGUCAUCAAGUCUUUGAACGCACCUUGCACCAUGUGAGCAAUUGCAUGGUAUACCUGUUUGAGAAUCGUAAAAACCUCUUUCCACCGCAAGGUGGGAGAUUUGUCGGUUGUGCCCCUCACGGCGGUACUCUGAUCAAAAGCAGUAGGUCCGGAUCAGGCUAGUGGCCUGGGACAUUGUGUGCUAGAGACGUUGGCCUUGUGCCUGCAGUCUUCUCACAGUGCGUCCUAGGCCAUCAAGCUAACCUGGUCAAUCGGGUCUGUACAGUGAGUGAGCCUUAGCCUAACGGCUGGUGCUCAUGACCAACCCCACACUUUUGAUCUCAAAUCAGGUAAGGCUACCCGCUGAACUUAA
This 390-nucleotide unclassified non-coding RNA is filed under the name uncultured fungus. RNAcentral's name for it is "sequence contains ITS1". The stretch from base 1 to 106 matches the Rfam family "5.8S ribosomal RNA", at positions 49 to 154 of the family's 154-position model. The record is from RNAcentral. Lineage: Eukaryota; Fungi.